CGUCCUCCCACACCGCGCGCGCCUGGCCCCCCAUUAUGGAGCAGAGCAGGCGCAAAUGGGAGGUCGUCGACUUGUCCUGCUUUAUCUGGCCUUCCUGGGAAACCAAGAGGAAAUAUUAGCAGAGAAGAUACUUUGGGAACUGUGUAAAAUAGACGAAGAUACUUCCAAAGAUGUCCUCCUUAUCUUACCUGGACUGGCAAGGGCGCAGUGAGCGUGAUGCUCCUAUGGAACUUCCUGCGCCUUGGCUCGACAGUUAUCACGGGCGAUACGGCGACGUGUCGCGGCAGCACGCGGCGACUCAGCUCGGGAGGCGCGCUGUGCGCCUGGAUGCCGACACGGAUGCGCUUCGUGAGCGCUUGCGGCGGGAACAAGGCUUGGACCUGACGACAAUUUUGGUAUUGUAAAAUAACAGCGUCACGACGGUGUAGGAGGAUACUGGUUCCCCAAAGUGACAACCCUGGCAGUCAUCUCCAGCCAUGUAAUAGGGGGAGAGCAUAUUGCAUAAAUCCUGGAAACCACCUCAUAAAGUCGAAUUCAGUUUAGAUAUCAAGGCAAUAUUCGAACUCAUUUGAGUCACAUUUUGAGGUCACCGAUUCGAACCCAGCACGGGCGCAAUAAUUUCCGAAAUUGUUUUCGAACUUAUGUUUGGAUCAUAUACAUUUCUGUGGCAUGUGACCUAACUUGUAUUGGGUUGGUUUUCAGUCAGGGCAGUCGCUUCUGUAAAAACUGGAUCUGUCAAAUCUUCAAGUAAGGGACCUUGUUCUUCUUCUCUCGUAUGGGUUGUGAGAUCAAUGACCUCAUCAACCCUGGUGUCAAGGUUACUAUCGAGCCGCUAAAGGCCGAAUAGUAACCCUGUCACCAUGAGCGGCCCCUGGGAAGACCGGACAAUGCUAGGAACUCACUUGUGGCGUAUGUGCGCUGGAGACGGUGCCUCCCUCAGGGCCGAUGAUAUGCACCUCCUGGCGCACGCGCGACACGCACGCGAUGUAAUGCGGGAAAUCGCAGGUGACGAUGCGGCACACUCGCUCACCGUUCUCGCCUAGAGUCUCGCCCGUGGAGCCGUACUCCUGACGCUCGCGCUGAAGAGCUUCCUGUUGGGGUAAAUUGGACAUUAGUAAAUGGUUUUAUUAUUAACGAGUUUAUCACCUGAUUGAAAAAGUUAGCUAGCUCAAACACCUCCACCCACCGGCAGUGGAGCAGCGUAGCGGAGUUCCGGUUUUGAGGGGAGACCUGAAUCCAACAGUCGGACGUAUAUAGGCUGGGUAUAUUGUAAUAUGCUGCUGUAUAAUAUAUUAUGUCUUUUUGUAACCGAAAAA
Pectinophora gossypiella (pink bollworm) is the source of this 1316-nucleotide long non-coding RNA. RefSeq lists it as uncharacterized. Lineage: Eukaryota; Metazoa; Arthropoda; Insecta; Lepidoptera; Gelechiidae. The transcript is spliced from 2 exons. The record is from RefSeq and is a predicted model, not a curated record.